AUGGAGGAAGUCUUGCUGCCCCUGGCUGUGACAUCUGACCCCAGGCCCUUUAAUCAACAACUCCCAGAGCCUCCAGACCCAAGAUGUGUUUUGGAACCCCAGGACAAUCCUGAACUGGCACUUGCCCUGGUGUGUGCCCUUUGCUGCUGCUUUGGAAUCAUCUACUGCUGCUUCAGCUACUGCUGCUUCAAGACAGUGACGUUUCUCUCCGGUCAGCUGUCAGGAGCGCUGGUGAGCUUCCUACUGUGCCACAAGGUGCGGGUGCUGGAGACACAGCUGAGCCUGGAAAUGAGAGUGGGCAUCGCCGUGGUCAUCAUGACUCCUCUGCGGCGUGGUCACCAUGUUGGUUCACUGUGUUGGGCUCUUAUUGACUGGUCUCCUGCUAGGCCUGACCUUGGGUGCCGGAGCCCUGCUGGCUUCUGAGCCUAUCUACCAACCACCUUCAGCCUGGGUGCCAGCUGGGGGCUGGUGGGGCUGGCGCUGCUGGGAGCCCUGCUCACACUUCGGUGGCCACGUCCAUUCACAGUGCUGGGCACAACCCUACUGGGUUCUGCAGUGCUUGUGGCCUGUGUUGACUACUUCCUGGAGGGGCUGGCACUGGGGAGUUGGCUGGGCCAACGCCUGCAGACACUUCCAGCCUUGCCUUCUCUCUGCUGAUAUAGCUGGGUCUUACUGGGGAUCUGGCCAGCCUUGGGGGCCCUUGGAGCCCUGGCCCAGUGGAAGCUCGUGCCUGAGGAACAUGGAGGCCACGCUAAUGAGUUACUUCCAGAGUCUUCAAGAGUGCCAACUGGGACCAGGACCCCAGACCACAGCCCCCCACACCGUCCUGGACCUGGAUUCUGACUGUGGUUCCACUGUACCCCUCACCUUAAUCUCUGGUUCUAACCAGACCUGA
RNAcentral lists this small RNA (895 nucleotides) under Pan troglodytes (chimpanzee). Its description in RNAcentral is "transcribed unitary pseudogene". The record is from RNAcentral. Lineage: Eukaryota; Metazoa; Chordata; Mammalia; Primates; Hominidae.